This 420-nucleotide ribosomal RNA is filed under the name Fusobacteriota bacterium. RNAcentral describes it as "Fusobacteria bacterium partial 16S ribosomal RNA". It matches the Rfam family "Bacterial small subunit ribosomal RNA", at positions 355 to 776 of the family's 1533-position model. The record is from RNAcentral. Lineage: Bacteria; Fusobacteriati; Fusobacteriota.
UGGGGGAUAUUGCACAAUGGGCGAAAGCCUGAUGCAGCGACGCCGCGUGGGGGAUGAAGGCCUUCGGGUUGUAAACUUCUUUUGCUCUGAACAAGGCAUGCCUUUGGGGUGUGUUGAGUGUAGGGGUUGAUUAGCGCCGGCUAACUACGUGCCAGCAGCCGCGGUAAUACGUAGGGCGCGAGCGUUGUCCGGAAUUAUUGGGCGUAAAGAGCUUGUAGGCGGUUUGUCGCGUCGAUAGUGUAAACACGCAGCUUAACUGUGUGCCUGCUGUCGAUACGGGCUGACUAGAGGAGGGUAGGGGAGAAUGGAAUUCCCGGUGGAGCGGUGGAAUGCGCAGAUAUCGGGAGGAACACCAGUGGCGAAGGCGGUUCUCUGGACCUUUCCUGACGCUGAGAAGCGAAAGCGUGGGUAGCAAACAGG